CCCGCACAAGCGGCGGAGCAUGUGGAUUAAUUCGAUGCAACGCGAAGAACCUUACCUGGGUUUGACAUAUACCGGAAAGCUGCAGAGAUGUGGCCCCCCUUGUGGUCGGUAUACAGGUGGUGCAUGGCUGUCGUCAGCUCGUGUCGUGAGAUGUUGGGUUAAGUCCCGCAACGAGCGCAACCCUAUCUUAUGUUGCCAGCACGUUAUGGUGGGGACUCGUAAGAGACUGCCGGGGUCAACUCGGAGGAAGGUGGGGACGACGUCAAGUCAUCAUGCCCCUUAUGUCCAGGGCUUCACACAUGCUACAAUGGCCAGUACAGAGGGCUGCGAGACCGUGAGGUGGAGCGAAUCCCUUAAAGCUGGUCUCAGUUCGGAUCGGGGUCUGCAACUCGACCCCGUGAAGUCGGAGUCGCUAGUAAUCGCAGAUCAGCAACGCUGCGGUGAAUACGUUCCCGGGCCUU
This 461-nucleotide ribosomal RNA is filed under the name uncultured Rhodococcus sp. Its description in RNAcentral is "bacterial SSU rRNA". It matches the Rfam family "Bacterial small subunit ribosomal RNA", at positions 920 to 1382 of the family's 1533-position model. The record is from RNAcentral. Lineage: Bacteria; Bacillati; Actinomycetota; Actinomycetes; Mycobacteriales; Nocardiaceae.